RNAcentral lists this long non-coding RNA (1212 nucleotides) under Medicago truncatula (barrel medic). RNAcentral describes it as "long non-coding RNA (MTRU_LNC006971)". Lineage: Eukaryota; Viridiplantae; Streptophyta; Magnoliopsida; Fabales; Fabaceae. The record is from RNAcentral.
GAGGUAUUUUAAAAUACCUCAUAAUUGGUUCCGAGUCGGGCCCUCUUCUCUCUUUAUUUUUUCUUUAAACUCCAUCUUUUCAUUUUUUUGUUUAUUGCUGUUUUUUAUUAUUAGCAUUAUUUUUAUUUUUAUCCUUUUUCAUUAUUAUUAUCAUUAUUUAUUAUCCUUUUUUUUUAUUAUUAUUUUGUCCAAUAAUUGGUGCAAGUGGUCACAAAUUACUCUCAAGCCAAAUUUUUGCUCAAACACCCAAUGCUAUAUAACCACAGCAGCACCACACGCCAAAGGGGGGGAAUUUUCCAAAGACAGAAAUUCAUCAAUCCAACAUCUGCAUUUCUCCAACAUUCAAAGCCCAAAUCGCACAACCUGCAAAGAAAACCAGAAAAUAGCAAGAUCACAGUAUCCAAUUUCUCAACAAAACAAAAACCAAUCUCAAUAAAAGAAAACCAUCAACCAAAUCUGCGAAUCAAAACCAUCAGCUUCAAAUUCCAUCAAUCCUCAAUCCAAACCGUUUCACAACCGGCCGUGAAACACCAUCACAAAUCCAGCAACAAACCCCAAUCGGCCAGCAAGCUGCAAAAACCGGCCGAAACCCUUUCAAACACAUAACAACCAACUUCUUUUACCAAAAACUAAAGGUAGUAUUUUCUAAUCUUAGAUCUAGGGUUUGUUAAACCUCAUUUCAAAAAACCGUUUUCAAAAAAGAAAGGAGAAAGGAAAGGGUGAUCUUUUUGGUAAAAAAAAAAAAUCAAAAAGGAGGAGUUUUUAACUCCGGCCACCGCGCCGGAACCAUCUCCGGUAGCCUCUUCUCGUCGGAGAAGAUGAAGAAUUCUAGAGAGAAGGCAGAGCCUCUCUCUCUAGAAAUAAGAGAAGAGAGAGAAGUUUGAAAUAGAAAUGAACAUAAAAAACCGGAGCUGGCUAUUUAUAAAGGGAUUGAACCGGUUCAACCUUUAAACCGGUCUGAACCGGUCUAAUCCAGGCCCAUACGUUUUUUCUAAGGCCCAAGCUCAAAUCUCUUUUAUUUUUAUUCCUGCACCCCCCUGUUUACUUCCUGCACUCCCCAGCAUCUAAUUUUAUUUCCUUUUUCAUGCAUUUUAAUUUUCUCUUGCAUUUUCUAUUUCAUCUUACAUUAAAGUACACAUAUCAAUCCAGAGUGCUCUGGUCCUCAGUUAAUUGUUAAUAUUAUAUUCUUGUUUAAUUUAAUUAUUCUCCAGA